RNAcentral lists this ribosomal RNA (216 nucleotides) under uncultured bacterium. RNAcentral's name for it is "partial 16S ribosomal RNA". It matches the Rfam family "Bacterial small subunit ribosomal RNA", at positions 524 to 735 of the family's 1533-position model. The record is from RNAcentral.
UACGGGGGGAGCAAGCGUUGUUCGGAUUUACUGGGCGUAAAGGGCGCGUAGGCGGUCGUGACAAGUCACUUGUGAAAUCUCCGGGCUUAACUCGGAACGGUCAAGUGAUACUGUCGGACUAGAGUACAGGAAGGGGCAACUGGAAUUCUCGGUGUAGCGGUGAAAUGCGUAGAUAUCGAGAGGGAACACCUGGCGGCGAAGGCGGGUUGCUGGGCU